Non-coding RNA from Kogia breviceps (pygmy sperm whale), 2105 nucleotides. The record is from RefSeq and is a predicted model, not a curated record. Lineage: Eukaryota; Metazoa; Chordata; Mammalia; Artiodactyla; Physeteridae.
GUGAUCAGAAAGCUUGUAUCAGAUCUAUGAGGCAGGUGCUGUAGGAAACUGGGCACAGUGUUGGGACAUCUGACAAAGUAUUGGACCAUGGGGCCAAGAGAGUCAGCAAAUUUGUGAAUGAGAGAGAAUCUUUAAUGGGGGUCAGAGUGACCAUCUUUCUGGCAAAAUGGCAAAAGGGAAAAUUGGACACACUGGUAUAGAAAGACAAGGGAUGGUUAGAGAAGGAAUCAAGGUGGUUUCUCUUCUUCCUCAAAGGCUCUAGGGGCUCCACGUUUGAGUCUGUUUCAGAAUAAUUGUGAAAAGCUGUGGAGUUUUUAGGACGAUGGGGGAAGAAGAGUUGUCCCCAGGAAGAUGGAAUUGAGCCAGGUGAGGUUCUAUCAAGGUGUAGAAAUAAGGACCCAGGAGCAGGGAGCUGGGCUUCGGGAAUGGUGGGGCUUGAAGGAGGAAGGCACAGCAAUAAGGGAAUGGAUGUUCCUCUCUCAUGAGCUGUGUGAUGAAUUGUUCUCUUAAUCAAGUUGCCGUCAUAACUGCAAACAGUGCUCUCAAGAACUGGGAUGUAGAAGAGGGGAAAGAGUGCUUUCUGGUUUGGUGCAGCAGAUCCUCUAAGACAGAGGCUUUCAUACUUUUUCAGAUUAUGACUCACAGCAAGGAUUACCUUUUCUCUCAUAAGCCAGUGACAUAUACAUUUCUAUGAAACUGAAGCAAAAUUUCAUGGGACAAUGCUUACCCUUACUAUGCAAGAUACAUGCUGAUAUUUUCUAUUCUCUUCUGUUUCAUUUGAGCAAAAUUGCUGGCACCUCUCACAAAACGGAUUUCUCAAUCCUUGAAAGGGUCAUGACUUACUGAGUGAAAAAUCAGUUCUGAGUUGCACCAUAUGUCAACAAACAGAAUGUCCACAGAAGCUAUCAUUCGGUUCUUACAAACCACAAUCAACAGCAUGGAAGAAGUUGCAUGCAGAAUUUUUUCCAAGGCAAAGAGAUAAAAAAGCAAGGUUUUAAUUCUGGUUAGCCUGUGUCCUUAUAGCCUGCUACUAACUUCCACUGCAGUGGAUUUUCAGAUUGUCCAGAAUGUGAUUCUGUAAGGGGGGAUUGGAAACAUGUUCUGAAUAUGUGCAGAAGUUUCCUGAGUACCAUUUAAGUUCAGUCGUGCUAAGCCUGAGAUAGGGCGUCAUCCCUCACAAGCUUCCCAGGACCCCUUGGCUGUGCACACAAAGAGAACCCGGCUUUUCUUGUUUGGGCCUUUGCUCCUUCCUAUUUGAUUGAAUCUGAAGAGGAACUGUUUGCCUUAGGCCGUACAUCCUGAAUCACAAUCAGGAUGCUGCUGGCACAGAAAAGCUGCUCCCACCCUUGCCUGAAAUAACUGAACAGGGAAAUAGAGUUCCUCCCAUCCCCAGCCUUAAAGCAAGAGGCUCAUAAUUUAUGGUGUGCUGGCAAUACAUCAGAAGUCAGUUCAGUCACUUACAGUAAAAUCAAGGAGGGCAGAACAAUGAAUAUAAAGUGAGAUUAAAACACCUCAUUAAGGGACAAAUUGUUCAAUGGACCCCAGAAUAACGAUGCUUUGGUCUUUGUUAGCCAGAGUCCAGUGGCCUUCAGAGAUGCUUCCUUGUCUGUAGGAUACGAAAAAAGCUUGUUCUUACAGGUCUGAUAUUUGGUGAAAUCAGAAGGGUGCAAAGGAAAAAAAGCUAUGGCUGCCUGCAGGAGCCACUUCUGGGAGCCAGGAGGUUGCCAUAGAGAUGUCAUGGGGCAGAGGAGAGACGAGGGGCCUGGAGAGACUGGCCGUGUGACACUUGCCAUCCCCUGACUUUCAGUGGCACUUGGCUGGGUCCACGAUAUGGAAGAUAAUCCAUAAAUCUUUGUUGGUUAGUUAUUUGGAAUGAAUGUCCAGAAAAUGCUGAAGAAUACCUGAGGAGACAAAAGGGAGUGAUAGAGUGAUUAAAUAUGUCAUUACUGCCUUCUUUGCUAUUUAUGAGAUUUCUUUUAACCUGUGGUAUUAUCUGCUUAGAAAGUUCCAGAUUGUAUUAACCAUGUUCACAUUUUCUCUCUGAUCCCUCCUUCUAACCCUUGCUCUCCAUUCCCCCAACAUUUAUUGUAAAAAGGUGUUUUGUU